GAUGAACGCUGGCGGCGUGCCUAAUACAUGCGAGUCGAGCGAACGGACGAGAAGCUUGCUUCUCUGAUGUUAGCGGCGGACGGGUGAGUAACACGUGGAUAACCUACCUAUAAGACUGGGAUAACUUCGGGAAACCGGAGCUAAUACCGGAUAAUAUUUUGAACCGCAUGGUUCAAAAGUGAAAGACGGUCUUGCUGUCACUUAUAGAUGGAUCCGCGCUGCAUUAGCUAGUUGGUAAGGUAACGGCUUACCAAGGCAACGAUGCAUAGCCGACCUGAGAGGGUGAUCGGCCACACUGGAACUGAGACACGGUCCAGACUCCUACGGGAGGCAGCAGUAGGGAAUCUUCCGCAAUGGGCGAAAGCCUGACGGAGCAACGCCGCGUGAGUGAUGAAGGUCUUCGGAUCGUAAAACUCUGUUAUUAGGGAAGAACAUAUGUGUAAGUAACUGUGCACAUCUUGACGGUACCUAAUCAGAAAGCCACGGCUAACUACGUGCCAGCAGCCGCGGUAAUACGUAGGUGGCAAGCGUUAUCGGGAUUUAUUGGGCGUAAAGCGCGCGUAGGCGGUUUUUUAGUCUGAUGUGAAAGCCCACGGCUCAACCGUGGAGGGUCAUUGGAAACUGGAAAACUUGAGUGCAGAAGAGGAAAGUGGAAUUCCAUGUGUAGCGGUGAAAUGCGCAGAGAUAUGGAGGAACACCAGUGGCGAAGGCGACUUUCUGGUCUGUAACUGGCGCUGAUGUGCGAAAGCGUGGGGAUCAAACAGGAUUAGAUACCCUGGUAGUCCACGCCGUAAACGAUGAGUGCUAAGUGUUAGGGGGUUUCCGCCCCUUAGUGCUGCAGCUAACGCAUUAAGCACUCCGCCUGGGGAGUACGACCGCAAGGUUGAAACUCAAAGGAAUUGACGGGGACCCGCACAAGCGGUGGAGCAUGUGGUUUAAUUCGAAGCAACGCGAAGAACCUUACCAAAUCUUGACAUCCUUUGACAACUCUAGAGAUAGAGCCUUCCCCUUCGGGGGACAAAGUGACAGGUGGUGCAUGGUUGUCGUCAGCUCGUGUCGUGAGAUGUUGGGUUAAGUCCCGCAACGAGCGCAACCCUUAAGCUUAGUUGCCAUCAUUAAGUUGGGCACUCUAAGUUGACUGCCGGUGACAAACCGGAGGAAGGUGGGGAUGACGUCAAAUCAUCAUGCCCCUUAUGAUUUGGGCUACACACGUGCUACAAUGGACAAUACAAAGGGCAGCGAAACCGCGAGGUCAAGCAAAUCCCAUAAAGUUGUUCUCAGUUCGGAUUGUAGUCUGCAACUCGACUACAUGAAGCUGGAAUCGCUAGUAAUCGUAGAUCAGCAUGCUACGGUGAAUACGUUCCCGGGUCU
RNAcentral lists this ribosomal RNA (1371 nucleotides) under uncultured bacterium. RNAcentral's name for it is "bacterial SSU rRNA". It matches the Rfam family "Bacterial small subunit ribosomal RNA", at positions 28 to 1381 of the family's 1533-position model. The record is from RNAcentral.